Molecule: ribosomal RNA, 254 nt
Filed under: uncultured bacterium
Lineage: Bacteria
Description: partial 16S ribosomal RNA
Rfam family: Bacterial small subunit ribosomal RNA
Source: RNAcentral
UACGGGGGGAGCAAGCGUUGUUCGGAUUUACUGGGCGUAAAGGGCGCGUAGGCGGCCUCUGCAAGUCGACUGUGAAAUCUCCGGGCUUAACCCGGAAAGGUCAGCCGAUACUGCAGGGCUAGAGUGCAGAAGGGGCAACUGGAAUUCUCGGUGUAGCGGUGAAAUGCGUAGAUAUCGAGAGGAACACCUGCGGCGAAGGCGGGUUGCUGGGCUGACACUGACGCUGAAGCGCGAAAGCGUGGGGAGCAAACAGG